UCUCUCCCCAGGUAAGCUCUCAAAGCCACAACUCCACCGACGACGAGACGGCGGCGACGCCUCCGCCGCUGCUGGCUCCGGUCGACGCGCAUGCGCCGCCUCCGCCCGAGGCGCCGCCGCCCGCCAGUCUGCACUUCCGAAGAGAUUGACGAGGCGUGGCGAUGCCGACGCGACGCAAGGCCUCUCACGCUCGACACUACGACUCUGCCGACGCCCUGCCGUCGCCUUCUUCGUUGGCUCUGCUCCGCACACAGCGAUUUGCGCGACGAGCUGCUCCGCCCAUUGCGGCACCAUCAGAACGCAUCAGAACUCCAGAAUCCGCUUUCCCGGUCUGUUACUGUCUCCUUUCGUUUCUUACUGAAGAAAUUGUAUCCUGAAAACCUUGGCGUCGUGCGGUGAAUUUUUGGAUCUGUGUCGCGACAAACUUUUGCGGUUUGUUCUGUGGUUAUCCAGCGGAUCUGUUCCUGGGCCAUUUUUCCUCAACAGGGGUUACAGAAUGCCAUUGCGGUGGCAUGUCCGCAAUUGCCAAUCAGACCGUGUCGUGCGAGAAUGUUUUGCCCAGAAGCAUGGGCGGCGAUUUAGUCUUCGGAUUGAUAGCCAUUAAGUCCUAUGUUUCUGUUUUUUUUAAGUGUUAGAAUAUGUGUGUUUUUAACUGUGUGCAUCAUAUUUUUACAUAGGUCGGGGAUAGGCUCAGUUUGUUUUAUCAUCUUGAUGUAACUGACUGAGUUUAGUAAAGCUUCUAUUAUCUAAAAAAUGAUUAUAAUUCUUCACUAAUAGGUUUGAGAAGAAGAAGACCCAACAGAAGGGUAUACUUCCGAUGGGGGACGGCCUGGUCAGUGUCAAAAAUUAAACAAAUUGUUUAAUGUAUUUAACUACUUGAUCUCAAGUAUAUGGUGAGCAUCUGGUAUAUAGCUCUGUUCCAAAAUAACUUCAUAUUUCUAGUUUAAAUUUCAACUGUAAAGUUCAAUUUUUUAAGGGAUGGAAGAACACAGGAAGUAUUUGUUACUGUAUAUAUGUAUGAUCGAUGCAAGCAAAAAGAGCACUAAAAUUGUUACACUUGUUGAGAUGUGCUUCUAUGCUGGCUUUUCUGUAUGCCUGUAAGAACACUCCGCUUAUCUUAUGUGUGACACAAACUAAUUAACUAUUCUUGGAGCUCCCUUUGUUAAAAGAAAAAGGUUAGUUUAAAAAAUUUUAGUUUUGAAAAAACAAAUUGGUAAACUAGUUAACAGUACUUCUGUAGUUGGUGUCAAAAUUCUGUCCAAGCAACGAAUGCAUAGCUGAAGAAGGGUUAAAGCCAUGAAUAUGAAUAUAAGCUGUAUAAAGUAUAAACUGGGACCUUAGAUGGGGACUUGGGGAGUUCCUGUUCCAUACGAGAAGUAUAAAGACAAGAUUCCAUACGAAGGAAUCUUCUUGUGCUGCAUUAUCUGAUGAGUAUUCCUUGUUUUCUUUUCAUUAUUUUCAGCUGCUGUAUGUUCGAUCUGAUGCACUUAAUGCAGGAGAGCCGAAUUUGGAAGCUUUACAAGGAAGAGUUACUAGCAGCUUAUGUUGCUGUGAUGAAAACUUAAGUUGAUCUUGCUCAUCCCCUCGCCCACCAGAAUAAGGCCAUUCAUUCUUCUGACCUAAACAAAGUGCCAAAGCAAAGAGAUCUUCACAAUUUUUUGUUAACUUGUGAUGGUUACAUAAUACUGAAGAAGUAUAAUGUGUCAGGACAAUUUGCAGGCAGCUAAGAUGAAGGGAGUUCAAAUGCUGAAGCUGAUGUUGAAGACAAGAAAGCUGCUGACCAGCUAAGGGUGGAGACCCCUGCUUAUAUUGAAAAGUGAAUAAAGGUACUAGCUAGCAGGCUGGCGAUACCAUCUCAAUAUAAGGAAUCUCGUAACAGUAGCAGCAAAAGCUCGUUAGUUUCAUUUUCACUAUCUUAUCCAGCUGAGAGGUUCAGAAAAGAAACAAAAGAAACAAUCUGGUGGUUCAAAAUUAAAGACCAUGGAGGCGGAUGUUUCAGUUGAAAGUUGGAUAUUAGGGUGGGCGCCUUAUCAGAAAAGCAGAAAAGUAUAUAGAUGCUGUUUUCUCACUUCAUGUUCAGGUUAGAGAGGGCCGUGAACAGUGGCAGUAGCCUUACAGGAUGCAUAUGCUUCCCCCCUGAUAAAAUGCAGUUGGCUUAACUGGAAAGUGUACGUCUGUUCUCAGCUGCCUGAAUUCUGAACUAGUGGCGCUACACCGUACAAAAUCAAAGGAGGACCAUACAAUGGACAGUUGCAACAAUCUUAGGCAAUUUUUUGGCGAAGAAGACAUGUGUUGGCAGAUGGUAAAUUCAAGUCUCUUAUAGAGCGGGGUAGGGAAUACAAUAGAUGAAUUUUUUCUCCUGACGAUAUGGCAAGGACCGUUUGUUUGUAACCAAAUUUAUGGAUAUGUUCGUAUAUAUUAAUUAGUUUCCGUUUGGAAAUAUUCAAAGU
Long non-coding RNA from Oryza brachyantha (malo sina), 2450 nucleotides. RefSeq lists it as uncharacterized. The transcript has 5 exons. NCBI's taxonomy places the organism in Eukaryota, Viridiplantae, Streptophyta, Magnoliopsida, Poales, Poaceae. The record is from RefSeq and is a predicted model, not a curated record.